Molecule: ribosomal RNA, 788 nt
Filed under: uncultured bacterium
Lineage: Bacteria
Description: bacterial SSU rRNA
Rfam family: Bacterial small subunit ribosomal RNA
Source: RNAcentral
GNACGCUGGCGGCGUGCCUACACAUGCAAGUCGAGCGAAGCAUUUAGGUUAGCUUGCUAAUCUUUAUGACUGAGCGGCGAACGGGUGAGUAACACGUGGUAAUCUACCUGAAAGUCUGGGAUAACAGUUCGAAAGGGCUACUAAUACCGGAUGACAUUAUGAUGUAGAGUCAUCAAUCAAAGCGUUACGGAGCGCUUUCAGAUGAGCCCGCGUCCCAUUAGCUAGUUGGUAAGGUAAAGGCUCACCAAGGCGACGAUGGGUAGCCGGUCUGAGAGGAUGGACGGCCACACUGGAACUGAGACACGGUCCAGACUCCUACGGGAGGCAGCAGUGGGGAAUUUUCGACAAUGGGGGGAACCCUGAUCGAGCCAUCCCGCGUGUGGGACGAAGGCCUUCGGGUUGUAAACCACUUUUCUCAACGAAGAAAAGCCUUAGACUAAUACUCUGAGGUGCUGACGGUAGUUGAGGAAUAAGCACCGGCUAACUAUGUGCCAGCAGCCGCGGUAAUUCAUAGGGUGCAAGCGUUAAUCGGAAUUACUGGGCGUAAAGGGUGCGCAGGCGGCUUGGAAAGAACGGUGUGAAAUCCCGGGGCUCAACCCCGGAACUGCACUAUUAACUAUCAAGCUAGAGUAUGUCAGAGGGGGGUGGAAUUCCGCGUGUAGCAGUGAAAUGCGUAGAUAUGCGGAGGAACACCAAUGGCGAAGGCAGCCCCCUGGGAUAAUACUGACGCUCAGGGCACGAAAGCGUGGGUAGCAAACAGGAUUAGGUACCCUGGUAGUCCACGCCCU